GCUAGGUUGCAAGCUUUGUCCGGAGAGCUCAGAAUCUCAUAAUAGAACACUGAGAAGUUAAGUGCAAGUCCAAGCCUUAUGGGAUGGGUAGGUGCCAGUUCAGCCAGUGCAAUAUCCUAUAGAUUUGCAUGGCAAGUCACAUUAAGAAUAUAUCAGUCCAGUAGUCAAAAGUGAAAAACAAUGGUCACUUGGAAAUGAUGGAAGAAUACUAUCACAGAAAUAACAAUCAAAUGCAAGCAGGUUAUGGAAGUGACAACAUGGACCAACCUGAGCUGCCUUAUAAGCCACCAUUGUGCUCUCUGCAGAUUCCUUCCUCUCAGUACCAGUCUUAAACUCAGCAAGGUACCUUUAAUAAAAAAAUAGAAAGUGAACAGUUAGUGUUGUAAUUGCAAACUAUAUGGAUUCAACUACACAAGACAACAUAGCAUCCCACUUCCUAACCUGUGAUAAUCACCCUUCAUCUUGAGGUAGAACACCUUUGACUCUGCAGCAGUGGAGGAAGGCACAAGGUGCGAGUCAAGCAGCUUCAGGAUACCAUCACAAAUAUUGCUCAAUUCAGCCUCAAUCUUGCCACGGUAUUCCUUGAUCUGAGCGACAUGUUCCUCGUUCUUGCGGGACUCCUCCUUCUGCUCAAUGGAGGAGACAAUGCGCCAUGAGGCACGGCGAGCCCCAAUCACAUUCUUGUAAGCAACAGACAGGAGGUUACGCUCCUCAACGGUGAGCUCUUCCACAUCUACGGUCUUAGCCACCUUCUCCAUGUACUCAACCAUCUCCUCGUACCGUUCUGCCUGCUCAGCCAGCUUGGCCAUGUAGACAUUCUCCUCCCGCGACAUGUUGAUCAAGAAAUUGAGUU
Molecule: long non-coding RNA, 853 nt
Filed under: Setaria viridis
Lineage: Eukaryota; Viridiplantae; Streptophyta; Magnoliopsida; Poales; Poaceae
Description: long non-coding RNA (SVIR_LNC007503)
Source: RNAcentral